Molecule: long non-coding RNA, 1421 nt
Organism: Micropterus salmoides (largemouth bass)
Lineage: Eukaryota; Metazoa; Chordata; Actinopteri; Centrarchiformes; Centrarchidae
Exons: 2
Source: RefSeq, a predicted model, not a curated record
CUACCUUCAAGUUAUUGCGUGUAUGGACUCAUGAUAGCCACGCUAUCGCUGAGUUAUAGUGUGUAUGGACUCUGGACUUUGUUAGCCUUGGGGCUAAUAGUUGGACUGCAUCUGCGUGGAUUUCAUCACCCACCCGGACGAGAGGAAACCUGCUGCACCGUUGGCGGGAGAGAUACUUUAUCUAGGCCUGCUGCCAAGUGACUGGUGUGAGGAGCUGUUUUCCUGCGGAUCGAGGACUGUGGUAAAUCAGACUUUGGGGUGUCAGAAAUGGAAAAGCCUCUUAAUUACCUUCAGCUUCAGAUGGACUGAUGAGUGAAGACCAGAGUUGGCAAGCUCUGAAGAUGAAGACAACACAGCGAAAGUUGCUACAUAAAAUCAUUACGGAGUUAGAGAUUGAUCCAAUUUACUGUAAUUGGGUGCUGUCAGAACGGCUGUAAGGUUGUCACUCCAGGCUCUGCUCAGUCAAACCGAUGCAUUUGAACUAAAACAAUUGUUUCAGCAUUUAGAAGCCAUUAAGCAAGGGAUCAAUGCUACAAAGAAUAAAAACUUUUCACAGAUGGUGACUUAAUUUAGCUUAGAAGGUGAGGAAAGUACUACUACACUCCCCACCUGAAAAAUCAGUGGAUAAUUGCAAAAGCCAUAAUUAGUGUGCUUGCUUCAGCAAAGCACAUUCAUGUUCUUAGAAAUGUUCUUAAAAAACAAACAAGAAAAAUAUUAAAACUGCUCACUGUUUCCACUUUUGACACAUAAAUUAUACAUCUGUGGGUUAGAGUUUUAUAGUUUGAGAGUGAGUAGGCUUGUGGCAAAAUGUAGAAGUUACAACAGCUAAUGCUUAAUUGAUGGGUGGAGAACUGAUUGUCCAAAUUGAAGGCUUUCAUGACUUCUUUAAAAGACUAUCCAUCCCACACAGGUGUAUGGUAUUUAGCUAAUUAGCCUUCUCCUCAGGAAAGCGUGUGCUUGUGGAGAUCAGCUUGCCUGGGAGACAUGUCGAGUAAGUGGUUAGCCCUGUAAAAAUGUCUUUGGCUGGUCCUUAGUGUGGCCAGCUUUUCUGUUGUUUGAUAACGAUGCUUUAGAAAUCACCUCUCGCCAAGGUACUCUCCUGAUAAUUAAAGUUGGCUGAUUUGAUGUAACUUUUUGCUUUCAGAAGACUGUCCAGCUAACACUGGUGUUUGGCUAAUGAGACCUAUCCUCAGAAAACCUUAAGCUUAUGAAAAGCAGUUUUCCUGACAGAUGCUAUAACUCAACUGCCAUUCCACCCAAAGGUUCAUCUUUGACAAGCAUUUAUGUUGGAUGCUUAAGUUUCUACUUCCACUUUACUCAACAACUUGUCUUACCAUUGGAAGUGGGUGUUUUUUUUUUUUUUAUUUAUUUUAUUUUUUUAGGCUUUGUGAUAUGUAAUAAAGCACUGCCUUCCAGCUAAA